This 24-nucleotide microRNA is filed under the name Medicago truncatula (barrel medic). RNAcentral describes it as "mtr-miR5282". Lineage: Eukaryota; Viridiplantae; Streptophyta; Magnoliopsida; Fabales; Fabaceae. The record is from miRBase by way of RNAcentral.
GACGGAAUUAGAGAGGGAUUUCAU